RNAcentral lists this ribosomal RNA (433 nucleotides) under uncultured bacterium. Its description in RNAcentral is "partial 16S ribosomal RNA". It matches the Rfam family "Bacterial small subunit ribosomal RNA", at positions 29 to 507 of the family's 1533-position model. The record is from RNAcentral.
AACGAACGCUGGCGGCAUGCCUAACACAUGCAAGUCGAACGAGACCUUCGUGUCUAUUGGCGCACGUCUGCGUAACGCCGGGGAACCAACACUUAGGUUCGGAAUAACUCCCCGAGAGGUGUUCUAAUACCGCAUAAUGUAUUCGGACCAAAGAUUUAUCGCCUUGGGAUGGGCCCGCGUUGGAUUCGCUAGUUGGUAGGGUAAAAGCCUACCAACGCGACGAUGCAUAGCUGGUCUGAGAGGAUGAUCAGCCACACUUGUACUGAGACACGGCCCAGACUGCUAGGGAACGGAGCAGUGGGGAAUAUUGGACAAUGGGGGAAAGCCUAAUCAAGCAAUGCGGGGUGAGUGAUGAAGGCGUUAGGGUUGUAAAUCUCUUUUACCCGGGAUGAGAAUGACAGUACCGGGAAAAUAAGCUCCGGCUAACUACGUG